Molecule: RNA transcript, 2701 nt
Organism: Budorcas taxicolor (takin)
Lineage: Eukaryota; Metazoa; Chordata; Mammalia; Artiodactyla; Bovidae
Gene: PDGFA
Gene name: platelet derived growth factor subunit A
Exons: 8
Source: RefSeq, a predicted model, not a curated record
UCUGGCGCUGCCUGCCUCUCUCCGCACUCGCUGCUCGCGCCGGGCGCGCUCCGUCGGCUCCCUGCUCUCCGCGCCACCCUCCUUCGGGCCGCGUUCCCUGAGGGAUGGUACUGAAUUUCGCCGUCACAGGAGCCCGGCUGGAGCGCCCGCCCCGCGGCCUCGCCUCCCCGCCGAGCCACCGGUGCCUCGGGACGCGAUGAGGACCUGGGCUUGUCUGCUGCUCCUCGGCUGCGGGUACCUCGCCAAUGCCCUGGCCGAGGAAGCCGAGAUCCCCCGCGAGGUCAUUGAGAGGCUGGCGCACAGUCAGAUCCACAGCAUCCGGGACCUCCAGCGACUCCUGGAGAUAGACUCCGUAGGAGCUGAGGAGCCUUUGGAAACCAGUCUGAGAGCCCACGGGAGCCACGGCGCUAAGCAUGGCCCGGAGAGGCGGCCGGUGCCCAUCCGGAGAAAAAGGAGCAUCGAGGAGGCCAUCCCAGCGGUCUGCAAGACCAGGACUGUCAUUUACGAGAUACCUCGGAGCCAGGUGGACCCCACGUCCGCUAACUUCCUGAUCUGGCCGCCGUGCGUGGAGGUGAAGCGCUGCACCGGCUGCUGCAACACCAGCAGCGUCAAGUGCCAGCCAUCGCGCGUCCACCACCGGAAUGUCAAGGUGGCCAAGGUGGAGUACUUCAGGAAGAAGGCGAAGUUGAAAGAGGUGCAGGUGCGGCUGGAGGAGCACCUGGAGUGUGCGUGCACCAGCGCCAGCCCGAGCCCCGAGCGCCGUGAGGAGGAGGCGGGAAGGCGUAGGGAAUCAGGUAAAAAACGGAAAAGAAAAAGGUUAAAACCCACCUAACGUGGCCAACCAGAUGGAAAAACUGAGGCUCGCCGGGAUCACGGAUGAGAGUUGUUGAAGGCUGGAUAGAUCCUGUCCGAAAUGCUUUAUGUGAGGUGAAGGUCAGCCAGCAGCCCUCUCCCGGGACACGGAUGUACAUGGCGUGUUACAUUCCUGAACCUACUAUGUACGGUGCUUACUGCCAGCGUGGUCUUUGUUCUCCUCCGUGAAAACUGUCUCCAUGCACGCUUUGGAGAACAAAGAGACAGUAUACGUUGUUCAUGUGACAUCAAAGCAAGUAUCGUAGCGCUCGGUGAAACAAUAAGACGCUUCCCUGUCAAAAAAAAAAGAAAGAGAGCAAACAAAACCACGAAACUCGACAAACAAAACUCACACAAGCAUCUGAGCAGUUGCCGGAACGGAGGGGCGCCCCGAGCGGCGGAGGGGCCGGCGUCGCGGCGGACCGGCCUCUGUGCAGGUGGCCACAGGUGCUUCUGUCGAGGGUGCAGAGCCUGCUUUCUGGAGGCUGCGCUCGGAGGCCGCGGGCUCUGCAGGCGCACGCGGGAGCCAAGACUGUCUGGGAAACCGCAUCUCCUUGCCGUAGUGUCUGAGUCUUAUCCAGAAACCUCCCUGAGAGCCUUAAGUGGAUUUUUUUUUUUUACAUCAUAAAGUGAUUAUUAAGCUUUCCUUUUUACUCUUGGCCUAGCUUUUUUUUUUUUUUUCAAUUAUCUCUUUGGAAGACAUUUACACCGAUAACACCAGGCUGCUGUAACAGUCAGGACAGUGGGACGGUACCUUUCCUAGCAAGAUGCAAGUGAACGAGAUGUAUUACAAUAAACAUGGUAUACCCACCUAUGCAUCAUUUCCUAAAUGUUUCUGGCUUUACGUGUUUCUUCCUUGCCUGGUCUCACCCGCCUUUUAAUUUAAGCCAUUUCGAGAGAACUGCGCGAAGCAAUCACAUGCCGUUCCCCAGCCUCCUGCCUGCCGUGGACGGGCCUGAGGACCCGGCUUUCCUGAGCGGCGGCCCGGGGUUGCUCCCUGCUGCUGCCAGUGUUUGGACAGAAACUAAACUCUUAUUUUUGGUAAGAUGUUAUGCUUUACGUGUAUUCAACAGAAAUUCUGUGUGGUGUUGUUUUUGUUUUUUUUUGUAAAGGUGAAGUUUGUAUUUUUGUCUAAUAUUACCAAGUUUUAUAUACCUGAGAGCCUGCCAUGCUUUUUUUUGUUUUGAACCAAAAGAAAAAAAACAAACCCACCAAAAUGCAUUCACGGUGAAAAGCAUUUGUGGCUGCGGCCCAUCAGCGUCACGUGGCCUAUGGCCUGGGUGCUGGAGCUCCAGGUGGUGCCUGGGAGGUCUCGGUGUCCUGGGCCUGCCUCCGGGAUUCUGGAACCUAGAGGACCACGCGCCCUAACCUCACAGAGGCACAGCGGCGCGCCCCACCAGAUGCCAAGCGGACGAGGAAGAUUUGCUCCCUUGGAGUGCAUGGACCCCAGUGUCUGCUGUGCCUGCGAACUGGGUCAGCCCCGUGUUGCCCGCGGCCUGCCGCCCCUGUCCUCCUCGUCUUGGAGCUCGAGUGACCGUUGGGACCCUUCUGUUGCCCUGGGGCUGUCUCUGGCGACAGGAAGCGUCCCGGGACUCACCUGUCCGUGGGGAGUCUUCCACGUUAAGGAGCAUCUUCCACGCGUGGCUGCAGGACGCCUUUGAGCGAGCGUGUGGGGGCGUGGUCGUGGGCUGUGGCCCCCCCCAUGGGGACCGCCCCCGUGCAGUCCCAGGAUGGGUGUCCCGAGGGGUGCGCGAUCCUGUGCUAUGGAUACGUGUCUGAUGUGAUAUGUACAAACGCGAUCUGUGUAUUUGCGUCUGGUGAGAUGCCCAGAACCCUGCUCACUUAAUCU